UCCAGCUGGCGCGUUGGCCGGUCCGUAAGUAGUCGAUGUCGAAGUCUCGAGAAGGUGCGAUCGUUUGUGUUUCGCCGCCCCUUCUUUCGCACCCUGCGCGCUCGUGUAUGUGUGUAUUCGCACGCGAAUCGAAUCGUACGCACGUGAGAGACGAGACGGAGAUAAGAGUGUGUGUUGCUAUCAGCAGUGUGACCGCAAAGUGGGAACGACGAUAAGGAACGAACGGGGGGCGUCCGUCCAUCGUCCCGGUCAUCGUCCGUGUUGAGGAGGAGUGAAGGAGUUAGGCGAGCAUCAACGCCGAAUCCGAUAGUCGCGGACUCUGCUUGCCUGCCUCUGCGUGCCUGUCGAGAGCGUGCCGGAGGAGACAGAGAGAGAGAGAGAGAGAGAGAGAGAGAGAGAGAGAGAAAGAGAGAGGGGUUCAUCCAGACGGAAGACGGCGACCUGGAAGUCACACACCGAUUGGCGAAGAAGCCUCUUCCCGAGUCUGUUGCCUCGCGUCUUUCUUCGUCAUCGUUGUGUUAUCUACGAGGUUUGUCAUCAACGUAGAGAUCGAGAGACGUGAUCGCGGCUCGGAGCUGCGCGCAGAGUCGUUUCCGUAGCCGCGGUUCCAGUCGCAACGUUCUCGAGGGACUCGAGGGACGGGAAAUCACGAGAAAUGGAACGACCCUCGCCGAUUGUCGGUCUCGGGCUUGGUAGAGGCCCUUGGUGAAGGCUCGUGUAGGCUGGCGCGUGUCCUUGGAGGUCGCAGGGAUUAUCCUGGGUGAGCAGUAACCACCAGCCGCGCGACGGAACGAAUGUGCAGGAGGUCGGAACGGGAGAAUGCUCGGUCGAUCGCGCUGGACAUGGGAUAGGUGAUACAUCCCGCGUUGACGACGAUGGGGCGGUAAAUCGAGCGAGUGAACGCAAAAUGGAUUGGGCGCCUCGGAUCAGGUAGCCGGUAACGACGAAGCAGUCGUGUGGCCACCGCCAACCACCAAACAGAGGAA
This is a long non-coding RNA of Harpegnathos saltator (Jerdon's jumping ant), 986 nucleotides long. RefSeq lists it as uncharacterized. Lineage: Eukaryota; Metazoa; Arthropoda; Insecta; Hymenoptera; Formicidae. The record is from RefSeq and is a predicted model, not a curated record. The transcript has 2 exons.